This 468-nucleotide ribosomal RNA is filed under the name uncultured bacterium. Its description in RNAcentral is "partial 16S ribosomal RNA". It matches the Rfam family "Bacterial small subunit ribosomal RNA", at positions 28 to 507 of the family's 1533-position model. The record is from RNAcentral.
GACGAACGCUGGCGGCGUGCUUAACACAUGCAAGUCGAACGGAAAGGCCCUGCUUUUGUGGGGUGCUCGAGUGGCGCACGGGUGAGUAACACGUGAGUAACCUGCCCUUGACUUUGUGAUAACUUCAGGAAACUGGGGCUAAUACCCGAUAGGAGCUCCUGCUGCAUGGUGGGGGUUGGAAAGUUUCGGCGGUUGGGGAUGGACUCGCGGCUUAUCAGCUUGUUGGUGAGGUAGUGGCUUACCAAGGUUAUGACGGGUAGCCGGCCUGAGAGGGUGACCGGCCACAUUGGGACUGAGAUACGGCCCAGACUCCUACGGGAGGCAGCAGUGGGGAAUAUUGCACAAUGGGCGGAAGCCUGAUGCAGCAACGCCGCGUGCGGGAUGACGUCCUUCGGGUUGUAAACCGCUUUCGCCUGUGACGAAGCGUGAGUGACGGUAAUGGGUAAAGAAGCACCGGCUAACUACGUG